GAGUUUGAUCCUGGCUCAGGAUGAACGCUAGCGGCAGGCUUAACACAUGCAAGUCGAGGGGUAACAGAGAAAAGCUUGCUUUUUUGCUGACGACCGGCGCACGGGUGCGUAACGCGUAUGCAAUCUACCUUUUGCUAAGGGAUAGCCCAGAGAAAUUUGGAUUAAUACCUUAUAGUAUGGUGACUUGGCAUCAAGAUAUCAUUAAAGGUUACGGCAAAAGAUGAGCAUGCGUUCUAUUAGCUAGUUGGUGUGGUAACGGCAUACCAAGGCAACGAUAGAUAGGGGUCCUGAGAGGGAGAUCCCCCACACUGGUACUGAGACACGGACCAGACUCCUACGGGAGGCAGCAGUGAGGAAUAUUGGACAAUGGAGGCAACUCUGAUCCAGCCAUGCCGCGUGCAGGAAGACUGCCCUAUGGGUUGUAAACUGCUUUUAUACAGGAAGAAACACCUCUACGUGUAGAGAUUUGACGGUACUGUAAGAAUAAGGAUCGGCUAACUCCGUGCCAGCAGCCGCGGUAAUACGGAGGAUCCAAGCGUUAUCCGGAAUCAUUGGGUUUAAAGGGUCCGUAGGUGGAUAAUUAAGUCAGAGGUGAAAUCCUGCAGCUUAACUGUAGAAUUGCCUUUGAUACUGGUUGUCUUGAGUUGUUAUGAAGUGGUUAGAAUAUGUAGUGUAGCGGUGAAAUGCAUAGAUAUUACAUAGAAUACCAAUUGCGAAGGCAGAUCACUAAUAAUAUACUGACACUGAUGGACGAAAGCGUGGGGAGCGAACAGGAUUAGAUACCCUGGUAGUCCACGCCGUAAACGAUGGUCACUAGCUGUUCGGGUUUCGAUCUGAGUGGCUAAGCGAAAGUGAUAAGUGACCCACCUGGGGAGUACGUUCGCAAGAAUGAAACUCAAAGGAAUUGACGGGGGCCCGCACAAGCGGUGGAGCAUGUGGUUUAAUUCGGUGAUACGCGAGGAACCUUACCAGGGCUUAAAUGUGGUUUGACAGCUUUAGAGAUAGAGUUUUCUUCGGACAAAUCACAAGGUGCUGCAUGGUUGUCGUCAGCUCGUGCCGUGAGGUGUCAGGUUAAGUCCUAUAACGAGCGCAAC
RNAcentral lists this ribosomal RNA (1094 nucleotides) under uncultured Bacteroidota bacterium. RNAcentral's name for it is "bacterial SSU rRNA". It matches the Rfam family "Bacterial small subunit ribosomal RNA", at positions 9 to 1102 of the family's 1533-position model. The record is from RNAcentral. Lineage: Bacteria; Pseudomonadati; Bacteroidota.